CAAGUAGGUAGUGAAAUCGUGUGGCUCAACCAUACUCACAUUAUCUAAACUGCUAAGCUAGAAUGGUAGAGGUAACUGGAAUUUCUUGUGUAGGAGUGAAAUCCGUAGAUAUAAGAAGGAACACCAAUGGCGUAGGCAGGUUACUGGACCAUUUUCUGACACUGAGGCACGAAAGCGUGGGGAGCGAACGGGAUUAGAUACCCCGGUAGUCCACGCCGUAAACGAUGGAUACUA
Molecule: ribosomal RNA, 234 nt
Filed under: uncultured Candidatus Saccharibacteria bacterium
Lineage: Bacteria; Candidatus Saccharimonadota
Description: partial 16S ribosomal RNA
Rfam family: Bacterial small subunit ribosomal RNA
Source: RNAcentral